Molecule: ribosomal RNA, 402 nt
Filed under: uncultured bacterium
Lineage: Bacteria
Description: bacterial SSU rRNA
Rfam family: Bacterial small subunit ribosomal RNA
Source: RNAcentral
UGGGGAAUCUUAGACAAUGGGCGCAAGCCUGAUCUAGCCAUGCCGCGUGAGCGAUGAAGGCCUUAGGGUUGUAAAGCUCUUUCAGUGGGGAAGAUAAUGACUGUACCCACAGAAGAAGCCCCGGCUAACUCCGUGCCAGCAGCCGCGGUAAUACGGAGGGGGCUAGCGUCGUUCGGAAUUACUGGGCGUAAGGCGCACGUAGGCGGACUGGAAAGUCAGGGGUGAAAUCCCGGGGCUCAACCCCGGAACUGCCUUUGAGACUCCCGGUCUUGGGGUCGAGAGAGGUGAGUGGAAUUCCGAGUGGAGAGGUGAAAUUCGUAGAUGUUCGGAGGAACACCAGUGGCGAAGGCGGCUCGCUGGCUCGAUACUGACGCUGAGGUGCGAAAGCGUGGGAAGCAAACA